AUACAGAGGGUGCGAGCGUUAAUCGGAAUUACUGGGCGUAAAGCGCGCGUAGGCGGUUGCGUAAGUCGGAUGUGAAAGCCCCGGGCUUAACCUGGGAAUUGCAUUCGAAACUGCGCGACUAGAGUCUGAUAGAGGGAAGUGGAAUUUCCGGUGUAGCGGUGAAAUGCGUAGAUAUCGGAAGGAACACCAGUGGCGAAGGCGGCUCACUGGCUCGAUACUGACGCUGAGGUGCGAAAGCGUGGGGAGCAAACAGGAUUAGAAACCCGAGUAGUCC
This 274-nucleotide ribosomal RNA is filed under the name uncultured bacterium. RNAcentral's name for it is "partial 16S ribosomal RNA". It matches the Rfam family "Bacterial small subunit ribosomal RNA", at positions 523 to 796 of the family's 1533-position model. The record is from RNAcentral.